AGUGGCGGACGGGUGAGUAACGCGUGGGAAUCUACCUAGCGGCGGGGAAUAACAGUUGGAAACGACUGCUAAUACCGCAUACGCCCUUCGGGGGAAAGGCUUCGGCCACCGCUUGAGGAUCCCGCGUCCGAUUAGCUAGUUGGUAGGGUAAUGGCCUACCAAGGCGACGAUCGGUAGCUGGUCUGAGAGGAUGAUCAGCCACACUGGGACUGAGACACGGCCCAGACUCC
Molecule: ribosomal RNA, 230 nt
Filed under: uncultured bacterium
Lineage: Bacteria
Description: partial 16S ribosomal RNA
Rfam family: Bacterial small subunit ribosomal RNA
Source: RNAcentral